GUAGGGCGCAAGCGUUAUCCGGAAUUAUUGGGCGUAAAGAGCUCGUAGGCGGUUUGUCGCGUCUGCCGUGAAAGUCCGGGGCUCGACUCCGGAUCUGCGGUGGGUACGGGCAGACUAGAGUGAUGUGGGGGAGACUGGAAUUCCUGGUGUAGCGGUGAAAUGCGCAGAUAUCAGGAGGAACACCGAUGGCGAAGGCAGGUCUCUGGGCAUUAACUGACGCUGAGGAGCGAAAGCAUGGGGAGCGAACAGGAUUAGAUACCCUGGUAGUCCAUGCCGUAAACGUUGGGCACUAGGUGUGGGGGACAUUCCACGUUUUCCGCGCCGUAGCUAACGCAUUAAGUGCCCCGCCUGGGGAGUACGGCCGCAAGGCUA
RNAcentral lists this ribosomal RNA (372 nucleotides) under uncultured bacterium. Its description in RNAcentral is "bacterial SSU rRNA". It matches the Rfam family "Bacterial small subunit ribosomal RNA", at positions 527 to 896 of the family's 1533-position model. The record is from RNAcentral.